RNAcentral lists this long non-coding RNA (1295 nucleotides) under Olea europaea subsp. europaea. The record is from RNAcentral. Lineage: Eukaryota; Viridiplantae; Streptophyta; Magnoliopsida; Lamiales; Oleaceae.
CUCAAACUAUCUUCAUCUCUCUGUCUAAGUAACAUUUUAUAUCUAACUUCUAUUGAAAAGGGCAACAAGGCACCACUGUAAAUUGAACAGCAAAGUAAUCCUAUUCUACUGUAUGCCCCCCUUUUUACUCGCAUCUAUUUUACUGUAAAUCUUUACCUGGCCAUACCUUUUCAACUUCACGUAACAAUCCAUAUUUCUCCAUUUACACAUGCAACUUCACCAUCCCCACUACCAUAACCUAGCUUCAUCUCUCUUUCUUACUGUGCACUUACCUGGUUUGGUAUUAUUUGUGGAGCUCCAAUCUCUUAUUUGAGUCGUUAACAAAAAAAAAAAAAAAACUUUGGAACACAAGAAGUAAAUUGCUAUGCGUUUAGUUCAACUUCUUCUUCAGACCUUAUGAGGUACAAUUUAUAUGUUUGUGAACAUUAAGCUCUUGUUUUUCCGCCAUUCUUUGGUUUGUGGAAUCUUCAUAUUAUAUAAUGUAGAUAUAAUGCAGAAUUAAACGCUGUGAAAUACUCUAAACGAGAAGGCGGUUGAAGAGGUAUAUGAAUUUAAAUCUAUUUCUACUCUCAUUUCUUCUUGAAUAAAAAAACUUUGCUGCUUCCAGUUUUCAUUUUAUGUAAUGUGAAAUGGGCUGUACAUGAUUAGUAGUGUUUUCUUUGUAAUUUUUUAAUGGAAUUGAUUUAGAUUUUGUUCCAAGUUGUAUUAAAAAUGCAUAUUUUUCUUUCGAGCAGAAGCAGAGUGAAUGAGUUUGUUGCAAAGUUAAAUGAAUUCAAUUUCUUUGUUUUGCAGAGAGGUAGUUUUCGGGCAUUUGUCAGUUUCUCUCUCUCUUCAGUUUUUUCUUUAAUGAAUUUUAUUUACAAAUGUGUAGUUUUUUUAAGUUUCUCAAUUGUCUUUACUAGCUUUCAUCUUCCUACUGAUUAUACAUUCUUGCUCAUAUCUCUAUGGAAAUUUGGUUUUUUCUGCUAAAAUAAUUAUCAGUCGUGUGUGUGUGCGUUUCUUGUUUAGCUUUAUAAUUAAUUAUUUUCUUGGAAAGUAUUGCUUUGGCAUGAUCUUAGUUUAAUUUGGUAAAUUGAUGUUAAUUUAGUGAAUUCUUUUUUUUUGGAAUAUCAAGCAUUUAGUCUUGAUAAUUUUAUGGUUGGUUCAUAUUUAUUGUUUCAUAAAUGUGAUAUAACUUUGUUUUAUCUUCAUUGGUGCUUUCACCUACAACCAUUCUAUUGUAGAUGCUAGACACAUUUGUUGCGGAGUUGCUCCGCACAAUGUGCGGAGAAGUUACUCCACAUGUCACGCCGCAG